UUGAGCAUGACAUGUAUACUA
RNAcentral lists this non-coding RNA (21 nucleotides) under Arabidopsis thaliana (thale cress). The record is from RNAcentral. Lineage: Eukaryota; Viridiplantae; Streptophyta; Magnoliopsida; Brassicales; Brassicaceae.